CGGGCCGUGUACUCCCAGAGGGCGUCCCCCUCGACGAGGGAGUGGUCACCGAAGUAGGCCCCGUCGGCGUGCACCCCGAGCACCGUCUCGUCCCCGUAGGGGCCGGUGCCGAUCUUCUCGACCUUGCCGCGCGCCAACAGGAAGACCCGGUCCGCCGCGUCACCGGCCGUGGCCAGGAGCUGUCCGGCGGGAACGUCACGCUGCUCGCACCUGCGGGCCAGCUCCGCGAGCGCCUCCUCGUCCCCGAAGUCCCGCAGGGCCGGGAGUUCACCGAGCUCGGCGGGGAUGACCGCCACCCGGUCUCCGGUCUGUACGAAGGUCACCCGGCCGUCGCCGACCGAGUAGCUCAGCCUGCGGUUCACCCGGUAUGUGCCGCCCUGCACCUGGACCCACGGAAGCAUCUUCAGCAGCCACCGCGAGGUGAUCUCCUGCAUCUGCGGGGCGGACUUGGUGGUCGUCGCGAGGUUCCGCGCGGCUGCCGUGCCAAGACUCUGCUGCGGCGGCAC
This 506-nucleotide antisense RNA is filed under the name Streptomyces sp. CB02488. Its description in RNAcentral is "Saccharopolyspora sRNA 350". It matches the Rfam family "Saccharopolyspora sRNA 350". The record is from Rfam by way of RNAcentral. Lineage: Bacteria; Bacillati; Actinomycetota; Actinomycetes; Kitasatosporales; Streptomycetaceae.